Molecule: ribosomal RNA, 506 nt
Filed under: uncultured bacterium
Lineage: Bacteria
Description: bacterial SSU rRNA
Rfam family: Bacterial small subunit ribosomal RNA
Source: RNAcentral
CCCUUAGUUUGAUCCUGGCUCAGAUUGAACGCUGGCGGCAUGCUUUACACAUGCAAGUCGAACGGCAGCGCGGGGAGCUUGCUCCCUGGCGGCGAGUGGCGCACGGGUGAGUAAUACAUCGGAACGUGUCUUCUAGUGGGGGAUAACUGCCCGAAAGGGCAGCUAAUACCGCAUGAGACCUGCGGGUGAAAGCGGGGGAUCGCAAGACCUCGCGCUGGAAGAGCGGCCGAUGUCCGAUUAGCUAGUUGGUGAGGUAAAGGCUCACCAAGGCGACGAUCGGUAGCUGGUCUGAGAGGACGACCAGCCACACUGGGACUGAGACACGGCCCAGACUCCUACGGGAGGCAGCAGUGGGGAAUUUUGGACAAUGGGGGCAACCCUGAUCCAGCCAUGCCGCGUGCAGGAUGAAGGUCUUCGGAUUGUAAACUGCUUUUGUCAGGGACGAAAAGGGAUGCGAUAACACCGCAUUCCGCUGACGGUACCUGAAGAAAAGCACCGGCAACUCU